RNAcentral lists this ribosomal RNA (497 nucleotides) under uncultured bacterium. RNAcentral's name for it is "partial 16S ribosomal RNA". It matches the Rfam family "Bacterial small subunit ribosomal RNA", at positions 28 to 507 of the family's 1533-position model. The record is from RNAcentral.
GAUGAAUGCUGGCGGCGUGCCUAAUACAUGCAAGUCGAGCGAACGGACGAGAAGCUUGCUUCUCUGAUGUUAGCGGCGGACGGGUGAGUAACACGUGGAUAACCUACCUAUAAGACUGGGAUAACUUCGGGAAACCGGAGCUAAUACCGGAUAAUCUUUUGAACCGCAUGGUUCAAAAGUGAAAGACGGUCUUGCUGUCACUUAUAGAUGGAUCCGCGCUGCAUUAGCUAGUUGGUAAGGUAACGGCUUACCAAGGCAACGAUGCAUAGCCGACCUGAGAGGGUGAUCGGCCACACUGGAACUGAGACACGGUCCAGACUCCUACGGGAGGCAGCAGUAGGGAAUCUUCCGCAAUGGGCGAAAGCCUGACGGAGCAACGCCGCGUGAGUGAUGAAGGUCUUCGGAUCGUAAAACUCUGUUAUUAGGGAAGAACAUAUGUGUAAGUAACUGUGCACAUCUUGACGGUACCUAAUCAGAAAGCCACGGCUAACUACGUG